GGAGGGUGCAAGCGUUAAUCGGAAUUACUGGGCGUAAAGCGCACGCAGGCGGUCUGUUAAGUCAGAUGUGAAAUCCCCGGGCUUAACCUGGGAACUGCAUUUGAAACUGGCAGGCUUGAGUCUCGUAGAGGGGGGUAGAAUUCCAGGUGUAGCGGUGAAAUGCGUAGAGAUCUGGAGGAAUACCGGUGGCGAAGGCGGCCCCCUGGACGAAGACUGACGCUCAGGUGCGAAAGCGUGGGGAGCAAACAGGAUUAGAUACCCUGGUAGUCCACGCCGUAAACGAUGUCGACUUGGAGGUUGUUCCCUUGAGGAGUGGCUUCCGGAGCUAACGCGUUAAGUCGACCGCCUGGGGAGUACGGCCGCAAGGUUAAAACUCAAAUGAAUUGACGGUUUU
Molecule: ribosomal RNA, 394 nt
Filed under: Pantoea sp.
Lineage: Bacteria; Pseudomonadati; Pseudomonadota; Gammaproteobacteria; Enterobacterales; Erwiniaceae
Description: bacterial SSU rRNA
Rfam family: Bacterial small subunit ribosomal RNA
Source: RNAcentral